AUUCUGGAACAAGACAUACUGGAAAGGAAAGUAAUCUUAGCAGGCGUUCGGCAAGAAGUGUAGUACAUUAUUCAAACUGUUGAAGUUCGCGUGGGUGUGAACCGCGCCAGGUU
This 113-nucleotide small RNA is filed under the name Sinorhizobium meliloti 2011. RNAcentral describes it as "putative ncRNA". Lineage: Bacteria; Pseudomonadati; Pseudomonadota; Alphaproteobacteria; Hyphomicrobiales; Rhizobiaceae. The record is from RNAcentral.